Centruroides sculpturatus (bark scorpion) is the source of this 206-nucleotide long non-coding RNA. RefSeq lists it as uncharacterized. NCBI's taxonomy places the organism in Eukaryota, Metazoa, Arthropoda, Arachnida, Scorpiones, Buthidae. The record is from RefSeq and is a predicted model, not a curated record. The transcript has 2 exons.
AAUUAAUUUAGUCUUGUAGAGCACAUUGAAUAUUAUUUUUAAAAAUUUUUAGGUUUUUGUAAAUGGUCAACUUGUCACAACUAUUGGAGAAGCAGGCAGCUUUGGAGAAUUGGCUCUCAUCUAUGGAACUCCUCGGGCUGCAACAGUUAAGGCUAAAACAGAUGUCAAACUUUGGGCUAUUGACAGAGAUACAUAUAGACGAAUAU